CAACAAAUGCCCUGCUUCCAGGAAAAGCCUCUAAGCAUCAGGUAACAUCAAAUCGUACCCCAAACCGACACAGGUGGUCAGGUAGAGAAUACCAAGGCGCUUGAGAGAACUCGGGUGAAGGAACUAGGCAAAAUGGUGCCGUAACUUCGGGAGAAGGCACGCUGACACGUAGGUGAAGUGAUUUACUCAUGGAGCUGAAGUCAGUCGAAGAUACCAGCUGGCUGCAACUGUUUAUUAAAAACACAGCACUGUGCAAACACGAAAGUGGACGUAUACGGUGUGACGCCUGCCCGGUGCCGGAAGGUUAAUUGAUGGGGUCAGCGCAAGCGAAGCUCCUGAUCGAAGCCCCGGUAAACGGCGGCCGUAACUAUAACGGUCCUAAGGUAGCGAAAUUCCUUGUCGGGUAAGUUCCGACCUGCACGAAUGGCGUAAUGAUGGCCAGGCUGUCUCCACCCGAGACUCAGUGAAAUUGAACUCGCUGUGAAGAUGCAGUGUACCCGCGGCAAGACGGAAAGACCCCGUGAACCUUUACUAUAGCUUGACACUGAACAUUGAGCCUUGAUGUGUAGGAUAGGUGGGAGGCUUUGAAGUGUGGACGCCAGUCUGCAUGGAGCCGACCUUGAAAUACCACCCUUUAAUGUUUGAUGUUCUAACGUGGACCCGUUACCCGGGUUGCGGACAGUGUCUGGUGGGUAGUUUGACUGGGGCGGUCUCCUCCUAAAGAGUAACGGAGGAGCACGAAGGUUGGCUAAUCCUGGUCGGACAUCAGGAGGUUAGUGCAAUGGCAUAAGCCAGCUUGACUGCGAGCGUGACGGCGCGAGCAGGUGCGAAAGCAGGUCAUAGUGAUCCGGUGGUUCUGAAUGGAAGGGCCAUCGCUCAACGGAUAAAAGGUACUCCGGGGAUAACAGGCUGAUACCGCCCAAGAGUUCAUAUCGACGGCGGUGUUUGGCACCUCGAUGUCGGCUCAUCACAUCCUGGGGCUGAAGUAGGUCCCAAGGGUAUGGCUGUUCGCCAUUUAAAGUGGUACGCGAGCUGGGUUUAGAACGUCGUGAGACAGUUCGGUCCCUAUCUGCCGUGGGCGCUGGAGAACUGAGGGGGGCUGCUCCUAGUACGAGAGGACCGGAGUGGACGCAUCACUGGUGUUCGGGUUGUCAUGCCAAUGGCACUGCCCGGUAGCUAAAUGCGGAAGAGAUAAGUGCUGAAAGCAUCUAAGCACGAAACUUGCCCCGAGAUGAGUUCUCCCUGAGACUUAGAGUCUCCUGAAGGAACGUUGAAGACGACGACGUUGAUAGGCCGGGUGUGUAAGCGCAGCGAUGCGUUGAGCUAACCGGUACUAAUGAACCGUGAGGCUUAACCUUACAACGCCGAAG
This 1370-nucleotide ribosomal RNA is filed under the name Salmonella enterica subsp. enterica. Its description in RNAcentral is "bacterial LSU rRNA". It matches the Rfam family "Bacterial large subunit ribosomal RNA", at positions 1591 to 2925 of the family's 2925-position model. Lineage: Bacteria; Pseudomonadati; Pseudomonadota; Gammaproteobacteria; Enterobacterales; Enterobacteriaceae. The record is from RNAcentral.